Molecule: ribosomal RNA, 563 nt
Filed under: uncultured bacterium
Lineage: Bacteria
Description: bacterial SSU rRNA
Rfam family: Bacterial small subunit ribosomal RNA
Source: RNAcentral
CCUACGGGAGGCAGCAGUGGGGAAUAUUGGACAAUGGGCGAAAGCCUGAUCCAGCAAUGCCGCGUGAGUGAUGAAGGCCUUAGGGUUGUAAAGCUCUUUUACCAGGGAUGAUAAUGACAGUACCUGGAGAAUAAGCUCCGGCUAACUCCGUGCCAGCAGCCGCGGUAAUACGGAGGGAGCUAGCGUUGUUCGGAAUUACUGGGCGUAAAGAGUACGUAGGCGGUUAUUCAAGUCAGAGGUGAAAGCCCGGGGCUCAACCCCGGAACUGCCUUUGAAACUAGAUAGCUAGAGUCUUGGAGAGGUUAGUGGAAUUCCGAGUGUAGAGGUGAAAUUCGUAGAUAUUCGGAAGAACACCAGUGGCGAAGGCGACUAACUGGACAAGUACUGACGCUGAGGUACGAAAGCGUGGGGAGCAAACAGGAUUAGAUACCCUGGUAGUCCACGCCGUAAACGAUGAUAACUAGUUGUUCGGGCACUUGGUGCCUGAGUGACGCAGCUAACGCAUUAAGUUAUCCGCCUGGGGAGUACGGUCGCAAGAUUAAAACUCAAAAUGAAAUUGACGG